This 305-nucleotide ribosomal RNA is filed under the name uncultured bacterium. Its description in RNAcentral is "partial 16S ribosomal RNA". It matches the Rfam family "Bacterial small subunit ribosomal RNA", at positions 505 to 807 of the family's 1533-position model. The record is from RNAcentral.
ACAGCAGUCGCCACGGUAAUACGUAGGGUGCGAGCGUUAAUCGGAAUUACUGGGCGUAAAGCGUGCGCAGGCGGUUGUGUAAGACAGGUGUGAAACCCCCGGGCUUAACCUGGGAACUGCGCUUGUGACUGCACAGCUAGAGUAUGGCAGAGGGGGGUGGAAUUCCACGUGUAGCAGUGAAAUGCGUAGAGAUGUGGAGGAACACCGAUGGCGAAGGCAGCCCCCUGGGCCAAUACUGACGCUCAUGCACGAAAGCGUGGGGAGCAAACAGGAUUAGAUACCCGUGUAGUCCCUGUCUCUUAUAC